AGGGGGGGUGCUAAUACAUGCAAGUCGAGCGAACUGAUUAGAAGCUUGCUUCUAUGACGUUAGCGGCGGACGGGUGAGUAACACGUGGGCAACCUGCCUGUAAGACUGGGAUAACUUCGGGAAACCGAAGCUAAUACCGGAUAGGAUCUUCUCCUUCAUGGGAGAUGAUUGAAAGAUGGUUUCGGCUAUCACUUACAGAUGGGCCCGCGGUGCAUUAGCUAGUUGGUGAGGUAACGGCUCACCAAGGCAACGAUGCAUAGCCGACCUGAGAGGGUGAUCGGCCACACUGGGACUGAGACACGGCCCAGACUCCUACGGGAGGCAGCAGUAGGGAAUCUUCCGCAAUGGACGAAAGUCUGACGGAGCAACGCCGCGUGAGUGAUGAAGGCUUUCGGGUCGUAAAACUCUGUUGUUAGGGAAGAACAAGUACAAGAGUAACUGCUUGUACCUUGACGGUACCUAACCAGAAAGCCACGGCUAACUACGUGCCAGCAGCCGCGGUAAUACGUAGGUGGCAAGCGUUAUCCGGAAUUAUUGGGCGUAAAGCGCGCGCAGGCGGUUUCUUAAGUCUGAUGUGAAAGCCCACGGCUCAACCGUGGAGGGUCAUUGGAAACUGGGGAACUUGAGUGC
RNAcentral lists this ribosomal RNA (630 nucleotides) under Priestia megaterium. RNAcentral describes it as "bacterial SSU rRNA". It matches the Rfam family "Bacterial small subunit ribosomal RNA", at positions 37 to 649 of the family's 1533-position model. Lineage: Bacteria; Bacillati; Bacillota; Bacilli; Caryophanales; Bacillaceae. The record is from RNAcentral.